Molecule: long non-coding RNA, 2546 nt
Organism: Mastomys coucha (southern multimammate mouse)
Lineage: Eukaryota; Metazoa; Chordata; Mammalia; Rodentia; Muridae
Exons: 2
Source: RefSeq, a predicted model, not a curated record
CUUCUGCAUCCACAGAGGAACCUCCCACCACCAGAGAGCUGUAAGGUGAGAAGCCAUGAAGCCACCAAGGUGGAGAGGUCAGAAGAGUCGGGGACAAAGGCUGCCACUGGUGGCCUCUUGUAUGUAGUCUGGAAGAGACCCAACAAAAGGCGAGGUCAGAGGCGGCAGGGGAUGGCCACACCCCUGGCUAAGCUGUUGAGAUGAGGUUCUUGCCCUUGUUGCUCUCUGGAGUUGUCCUGUCUGCCGCAGCCCCCUUACCACUCACGCUGAGUAUCCCAAAGGGCGGAGUUAUCUGAAACUGCCCACACACAAGGAAUAUCCAGGGUAAUUAUUAUGUGGCGCUAACAGAGCAAGUCGAGUAUGUUUUCCAGAUCUAGACUUUCCCUAUGACAACUUCAGACUGGGGCUGCUGAGACGUGUCAGCAAGCAAGAGUGCUUUCUGUGUAAGCAAGGAGGACCUACAUUUGAAGCUCCCUGUAAAAACUGGGCUCGGCUGCCUGAGUUUUAGCCCAUCUUAGGGGACAGGGAGAUCCUGGGAGCCAGCCAGCUUACCUGAAAUGUAAAUAAAUACGGUAGAAAGUGCUAGAAGACAACACCUGAUGUCUUUCUCUGGCCUCUGCAUACUAGCCCCUGUACCCACCCCACAGAUAGACAACCUGAGGCUAGCAAGCACACACAACUGUGUCCCAGCCUCUGUUCACACUGAAGUCCUGGUGCUUUCUCUGGAUUUACUUUUGAGAGCAGUGCAGUUCCAGUUUUCCUUGAAUUAGUCAGAUGAUUUGUUUCAAAAACAUUUCCUUGUGAUUAGGUUCUAACGUUUAACUUCCAUUUCCAUUAGAAACAUGGCCAUUUAUGCUCAGAAACCAAAGCAUAUGUGUGCCUUCCGUCUAUCAGAAGCUAGGAUCAGGGAAAUGGCCACUUUCCACUUGUUUAUUCUGACAGUUUGUGCAUCUUCCUUGAGUUGAUAGAUUAAAAGCCUAGGUGUCCUGACUUUUUGGUCAAGGUCUUCUCCAGGAAUUGUGGAUACAGAAGGCCCCACAGGACUGGCUUUUGAGUAUUCUUUGUGAGGGAAGGAGUACAUACCUUUUGGUUAGUGAAUGCUCUAAAGCACUGUCUCACAGCAUUACUUUAAAAUUAAGAUGCUUCUAAUUAUGUUGAUAACUUCUCCAAUGAAGAAAACCUUACCUGCAAAUUAAAGAAAUUAAGAACCAACAGUAGAAAAUGCCAAGAUGUUUUUUGUGCUAUAUAGUAAGUUAACUUUUAAAUUUUGCAUUUUUGAUCAAAUUAUGUACACUGUAUUGAAGCCAACAAACCUGAAAGAAUGAAUUUGCAAAAUUGGAUUUAAUUCAGAUCUCAAGAGGGCAAGGGAGGACAUUGUGAUAAUCCUUAAGUACAGAAUCCUAAUCAAUGCUAGACAAACAAUGUAUUAGUUUACAUAUAAUAGGCUAACCACACAUUUGAAGGCUCUGAUUGAGUCCAUCAGCAAUAAGUACAAUUUCAUAUUUGGCUCAAGUGGCUACUGAACAUCAAGCAGUGUCCAAGUUCCUUCUCACACCUAAAGACCCAUUUGGCUAUGGAGGAAGUUCCCCACAGUCUCAGAAGCCUCCACUCAUCCCUUCAACUCUUUUGGCCUUGAGAGUCUCUGCUCCCCAAAACACAAAUACAGUCCUGGGAUUUCCAGCACAUGUUAUUGCACGGAAUGGUCUGUCCUAAGCCAGACUCUUAUGGCUGAGAAGGUGUGAGACCAGCCCUUAGAGACAGUGGUCUAGCAUUAACGUGGCCUAUAAAAGCAUAGCAAGAGAUAGCUGCUUACUCUAUCUACACCAGCUUCUAGUGUUCAGGCUGACAGAAGAGGCAACACGCAGCUUCACAUUUCACACGGAAGACUAGCACUGGCUGGGCCUGGCUUGCUGGAUCGACUCUCCCAUAAACAUAGUGAUGGUUUUAGCUUAGACCCAGGAGAAAAUUACUUCAUACCAGUCUUUUCUUCACAUAAGGUUUGUGUAGCAUUAAAAUUGUUACAGACGAAUGACUUGCCAUAAAGGCAAAAAAUGUCUUAACUCUCCUUUGCCCAAAAAGAAACAUCCCUGUUUUGAAUCUUGUCCAGUUUCCCCAAAGAAAACAUACAUACACCUUGGUUAUUGCACAUCUAUUAGACAGACUUGUGUAUGUGUAAUAUAUACACUUAAAUAUGCUACACAUAAAAGAGAGUAUGGCACUUUACAGAAUACAUGGUUAACAAAGGCCAUUCACUAUACCACAGAUACUUCAAAGACCCUUCCACAGUUAUAAAUGUAACGUUGAAUUACCACACAGGUCUAAAGGAGCCACAGACUCCCAAGUGUUUCUGCUUUAGAGUUCAAUGAGAAGCUGAGCACAAACGCAGACAAAAGACGACUUUUCGGGUAGUGAUGGCCCCAUUAUCGAGAAAUGGUAGUGGCCAGCAAGUGGUUUUAAAGAGCCAGGAGCAAAGUUUCAUUCUAUAUUGGCACAACUGUAGAUGGUCCUUUCAUUCCCUGUAAAAGUCUGUGUAUUGGUUUGAAGGU